GAUGAACGCUGGCGGCGUGCCUAAUACAUGCAAGUCGAGCGAACAGACGAGGAGCUUGCUCCUCUGACGUUAGCGGCGGACGGGUGAGUAACACGUGGAUAACCUACCUAUAAGACUGGGAUAACUUCGGGAAACCGGAGCUAAUACCGGAUAAUAUAUUGAACCGCAUGGUUCAAUAGUGAAAGACGGUUUUGCGGUCACUUAUAGAUGGAUCCGCGCCGCAUUCGUUAGUUGGUAAGGUAACGGCUUACCAAGGCAACGAUGCGUAGCCGACCUGAGAGGGUCAUCGGCCACACUGGCUCUGAGACACGGUCCAGACUCCUACGGGAGGCCGCAGUCGGGAAUCUUCCGCAAUGCGCGAAUGCCUGACGUAGCAACGCCGCGUGAGUGAUGAAGGUCUUCUGAUCGUAUAACUCUGUUAUUAUGGAAGAACAAAUGUGUAAGUAACUAUGCACGUCUUGACGGUACCUAAUCAGAAAGCCACGGCUAACUCCGUG
RNAcentral lists this ribosomal RNA (497 nucleotides) under uncultured bacterium. Its description in RNAcentral is "partial 16S ribosomal RNA". It matches the Rfam family "Bacterial small subunit ribosomal RNA", at positions 28 to 507 of the family's 1533-position model. The record is from RNAcentral.